AAAGGAAUUGACGGGGACCCGCACAAGCAGCGGAGCAUGUGGUUUAAUUCGAAGCAACGCGAAGAACCUUACCAGGACUUGACAUCCCUCUGACCGUUCCUUAAACGGAACUUCUCUUCGGAGCAGAGGUGACAGGUGGUGCAUGGUUGUCGUCAGCUCGUGUCGUGAGAUGUUGGGUUAAGUCCCGCAACGAGCGCAACCCUUGCUACUAGUUGCCAUCAUUAAGUUGGGCACUCUAGUGGGACUGCCGGGGACAACUCGGAGGAAGGUGGGGAUGACGUCAAAUCAUCAUGCCCCUUAUGUUCUGGGCUACACACGUGCUACAAUGGCCGGUACAACAGGUAGCGAACCCGCGAGGGGGAGCCAAUCCCAAAAGCCGGUCCCAGUUCGGACUGCAGGCUGCAACCCGCCUGCACGAAGCCGGAGUUGCUAGUAAUCGCGGAUCAGAAUGCCGCGGUGAAUGCGUUCCCGGGUCUUGUACACACCGCCCGU
This 492-nucleotide ribosomal RNA is filed under the name uncultured bacterium. RNAcentral describes it as "bacterial SSU rRNA". It matches the Rfam family "Bacterial small subunit ribosomal RNA", at positions 903 to 1397 of the family's 1533-position model. The record is from RNAcentral.